This 464-nucleotide ribosomal RNA is filed under the name uncultured bacterium. RNAcentral's name for it is "bacterial SSU rRNA". It matches the Rfam family "Bacterial small subunit ribosomal RNA", at positions 917 to 1382 of the family's 1533-position model. The record is from RNAcentral.
GGGCCCGCACAAGCGGCGGAGCAUGCGGAUUAAUUCGAUGCAACGCGAAGAACCUUACCUGGGUUUGACAUGGGCGCUAAAGCCGCAGAGAUGUGGUGUCCUUCGGGGGCGUUCACAGGUGGUGCAUGGCUGUCGUCAGCUCGUGUCGUGAGAUGUUGGGUUAAGUCCCGCAACGAGCGCAACCCUCGUUCCAUGUUGCCAGCGGGUUAUGCCGGGGACUCAUGGGAGACUGCCGGGGUCAACUCGGAGGAAGGUGGGGAUGACGUCAAGUCAUCAUGCCCCUUAUGUCCAGGGCUUCACGCAUGCUACAAUGGCCGGUACAAAGGGCUGCGAUACCGCAAGGUGGAGCGAAUCCCAAAAAGCCGGUCUCAGUUCGGAUCGGGGUCUGCAACUCGACCCCGUGAAGUCGGAGUCGCUAGUAAUCGCAGAUCAGCAUUGCUGCGGUGAAUACGUUCCCGGGCCUU